Non-coding RNA from Danio rerio (zebrafish), 382 nucleotides. NCBI's taxonomy places the organism in Eukaryota, Metazoa, Chordata, Actinopteri, Cypriniformes, Danionidae. The record is from RefSeq and is a predicted model, not a curated record.
CAGACGUGAUGAAAUUCCAGAUGUAAACACAUUUGACCUUCCUUUGUCCAAUUUGAUAUGGAAAAGCUUGAAAAUUAACUAAAGGAGCAGCCGGAACAAAUGAAGAAGCUGGUAGCCUACUUUGGAAUCAUUGGUGUUUUCCAUUAAGGAAGCAGUUUGGUGUAUCCUGGGAAAACUUUUGACUAACUCCUUGUCUAAACAAAUGAACUGGAGCGGGGCAAACCAAAAUGUGGCCUUUCGUGCACUCCCCCUUAGGACUGUCUAGUCAAUGCAGUGAGGACAAAUGUCCAUACCACACCACUGAUAAAGAAGUGGAAAAUGCAUUACAAGGUGGCUACAACUUCCUUCCCUGUCAGGAGCAAGGAAGAAGAGAGCUCAAUAU